This 253-nucleotide ribosomal RNA is filed under the name uncultured bacterium. Its description in RNAcentral is "partial 16S ribosomal RNA". It matches the Rfam family "Bacterial small subunit ribosomal RNA", at positions 524 to 776 of the family's 1533-position model. The record is from RNAcentral.
UACGUAGGGGGCUAGCGUUGUCCGGAAUCAUUGGGCGUAAAGAGCGUGUAGGCGGCCCGGUAAGUCCGCUGUGAAAGUCGGGGGCUCAACCCUCGAAUGCCGGUGGAUACUGUCGGGCUAGAGUGCGGAAGAGGCGAGUGGAAUUCCUGGUGUAGCGGUGAAAUGCGCAGAUAUCAGGAGGAACACCGGUGGCGAAGGCGGAUCUCUGGGCCUUACCUGACGCUCAGGUGCGAAAGCUAGGGGAGCGAACAGG